Amphiprion ocellaris (clown anemonefish) is the source of this 520-nucleotide long non-coding RNA. NCBI's taxonomy places the organism in Eukaryota, Metazoa, Chordata, Actinopteri, Pomacentridae. The record is from Ensembl.
UAUCUAUGGCCGGAACGUCUGGUAGCAUCUCUGGCUGCUGUUGACCUGGUUUUUGGAGUAAAACACGGUGGAAGCUGAAUUAGUGAGGAUGACUCCUGCUCCUGUCAUCUCUAAGCUCCUCACACAUCUUUACCUGCACAUGAGGAAAAUCACUCCUGUAGAAUGCAGUGGUUCAUCAGAACCUCUGGGGAUGUCCUGUGGAUUCUGUGGAUCCUGUGGGUUGCAGGGUGGGUCCUACCUAGACCAGGCUGAUCCUGGACCAUCCCACAGAUGCUCCAUCAGAUCUGGAUGUGGGGAGUGUGGAACCCAGGUGAACAGCUUAGCUCUGUCGUGUUCCUCGGACCACUCCUGAGCAGUUUUAGUUUGUCCUGCUGAGGGAGGCAGCUGGCAUCAAGGACUGCUGUUGCCAUGGAGACUAGGGGGUUGUUUGUCCUGCAGUGUUUAGGUGGUGGUACAUGUCAAACAUCCACAUGAAUGUCAAGGUUUCCCAGCAGAACGUUGCAUUAGAACAAGAUGAUGG